RNAcentral lists this long non-coding RNA (1510 nucleotides) under Oryctolagus cuniculus (rabbit). RNAcentral describes it as "lncRNA (ENSOCUG00000033707.1)". Lineage: Eukaryota; Metazoa; Chordata; Mammalia; Lagomorpha; Leporidae. The record is from RNAcentral.
AUGAGUUCUUAUUCAGAACAAAGUGUUCAAACCUCUUUCAGGCUACUUGGGUCAAUCUGCUUUGUCACAGCUACGAAGGGCACUUGCGCUGACAUAAAGUUCAUAUUCCACAGCAAUACAAUCCUCUCAUUUAAAGGCCAAGCUGGACAAUUCCCGAGGAGUGUUCAAAGCAAGAUAAAAUUCAACAUGCGCCACUUGCCCCCAGACCCAUUCAGCUGCACUCUCCAAUCUGCGCCCCCUUCUGUGCGAAGUUCCCUCUGCUCCAUUCUUGCCGUUCAGAGACAGGAGCUCGCAGAACUCAGAACCAGGGAACAGAUUGCCGCAGUCAAUCCACUUCCCGCUAAGAACCGCUUGGCCAAAGAACACUUGAGAAGGUCUGCCACAUUCUGGAACCCGGGGAGGCGGGAGAUGCAAACGCUGGAGCGCACUGCCUGGGGACCUGCCGACGUGGUACUGAGACUGAGCGCAGGUCGAGGCGAAUCUGACACCCAGGCGGAGGGGGCCUCGUGAAGCAGGCCAGUGGCCACGCGGGGGUCCGUGCUUCCUAAUCUCUCUCCUCCCCUCCACCACCCCCGGAAAACACGGUCCUGUGCCCCUGCUCCCCUCCUCCACGAGCAGCUGAGCCCCUACGUGCGGCCCGGGCGCCCCCAACGCCCGAGUUUCCGGACCCGCCGUGGAGCGCCUCCGCGGGGCACGGCCACGUGGCCCGCCCGCGCGUCCCCUUGGCUCCCGCUUCCUCCGCACACAUCCGCGGCCGCGACCCUCGCCCCGGGCCGGGAAAGGAGGCUGCUGGCCGAGUGCCGGGUUCUCGCUGGCGAGACGAGCCAGUCAGGGGAGCCCCCUGCGCGGACCUCGCCUCCCGGUACGCAAGCCCGCGCCCCCAAACCCUGCUGGCCCACGCAGACUCCCGCCGCGCCUGUGACCUCUGGUUGGCUUGGCGGCUAACGUUAAAGAGAUGUCCACGAAGCGGUUGUUUCGCCCCCAACUCGUUCCAAAAAGAAAGAAACCAAAGCAGCAGGGCCAGGAUGGGCUUCUCCUCCCCCGCCGCUUCCACUCCCGCCCACAGGCUUGCUGGCUUCCAGGGUGCCAGCCGCUGCCUUCACACCCUCCUUCGGGGGGCCCUUCGUUCUAAAGUCUUGGGUGGAAAUGCUUCAAAUGCAAACGUGUCCGAGUAACUGCAGGGGCGCUGGGACCAUCCCCACCCGCUGGACCGCCAAGGAAGGGGGCUGGGGGGCAAGGCCCUCGCAGCGCACGGGCCCCCGUGCCCAGGCUCCGGAGACUCCCCACCUCUUAGAGGCUGACCUCUCGGGGUCACCGUGCGGGAAUCCAAGUCCGGGGCAAGGUGGUAAUCAAGGGGCCACAGGGUCCUCCCCCCUUGGGCGGGCGGCGCUGCGCUGGCUCCCUCCGGCCCUGCUUCCAUUCGCCACGGGCAGGGCGCGAACUUGGGCCCCUUUCAGCACCCUCGCAGGCGCAGUCCGUUAGGCACAGGGCAGUCUGAGGUGGGGACAGU